GGAGGGGUUGGAGGGGCGUGUGCUUGUUGUCGCUACAAGCGACAACAAGCACACGUUGGUGACGCUCAGUUGCCGCCCUGCUG
This 83-nucleotide transfer RNA is filed under the name Streptomyces platensis. Its description in RNAcentral is "tRNA-Cys". The record is from RNAcentral. Lineage: Bacteria; Bacillati; Actinomycetota; Actinomycetes; Kitasatosporales; Streptomycetaceae.